UUGCCUGCAGAGAGCUUCCCCCUGCUUUUCUCUCAGCUACAAAAUCUGUUUACAUUACUGGCCUCCAACUGCCUSCUACUGACAUCGCUGUAAAGGCAGUGUGUCCUGCUGUGAAGAAGCCAAGCUGAAGGRAAAAGUUUGCUCCUGGAUCUCACCAGCUAUUGCUACAGUGCUCUCAACACCGUGGGGCUUCCCAGCAAAGGUUGAACAAUCCAGCACAGUACAUCACUGCCUUCACAGGCCAGGUUUGGAGCGCCCAGUCAGUGCUUGGCCACGAUGGACAUGUUCAUGUUUUUGAWGUUUGCUCUUUGAAAACCAGCUUGUGCUUUUCUUCAGCUGCCAGAAGCAAGCCUACAGCCAUAACACGAAUGUAAACAAACACAGGGUGCUGCAGAAGAGCAGAGCAGAGCCUCGGUGCUGAGCAGGGGCUGGUGCCGCUGUCUCCUGAGCAGCCCCUUCCCAGGGUACAAACCACUGCCUGCAGCCAGCGCCAGGUCCCCAACGCGGGGCUGCCAGGGGCACACCCACCCACCCACCUAUGACUGACUGCAAGGCUUGCAACCCACUUUCAAGAGUGCAAAAAAAAACCCCAAACCAUGCUCAAUUUAAUUCUUCAUUCAGCUCUGAUAAUUGGUUACAGCAAAUAAAAGUUGGGUGCUGAAUUAAAUUUUGCCCUCUCAAGUUCUGUACUGUAAAAUGUGUCAAAAGAAAUGUUACGAUUUACUGCACAGUUUGAAGUGAUUCUGCCUG
This is a long non-coding RNA of Malurus melanocephalus (red-backed fairy wren), 750 nucleotides long. RefSeq lists it as uncharacterized. Lineage: Eukaryota; Metazoa; Chordata; Aves; Passeriformes; Maluridae. The transcript has 3 exons. The record is from RefSeq and is a predicted model, not a curated record.